RNAcentral lists this transfer RNA (93 nucleotides) under Slackia isoflavoniconvertens. RNAcentral describes it as "tRNA-Ser". It matches the Rfam family "tRNA". Rfam says of the family: Transfer RNA (tRNA) molecules are approximately 80 nucleotides in length. Their secondary structure includes four short double-helical elements and three loops (D, anti-codon, and T loops). The record is from RNAcentral. Lineage: Bacteria; Bacillati; Actinomycetota; Coriobacteriia; Eggerthellales; Eggerthellaceae. RNAcentral also lists the same sequence under 2 other names.
GGAGGGGUGGCAGAGUGGUUGAAUGCGGCGGUCUCGAAAACCGUUUGGCCCGCAACCCGGGUCACGGGGGUUCGAAUCCCCCCUCCUCCGCCA